AGAUAUUUAUAUUAUUAAUAGGAAAGUCAUAAAUAUAUAAAUUAUAUUAUAUAAUUAAUAUAAUAAUAAAAUAAAUUAUAUAUUUUAUUUAUAAUAUUAUUUCUUUAUAAGAUAAAUAUUAUCUAAUAAUAUUUAUAAAGAAAUAUAUAUAUAUAUAAAAAGUCAUUAUAUAAAUUUAAUUAUAAUUUAAAUAAAUUUUAUAUAAAUUAAUAUAAUAUUAAUAAAGUAAUUAGUAUAAAUAAAUAAUAUGAAAAUAAAACUUAAUAAAUAUAUAAAUAUAGUCCAUAUAUAUAUAUUAAUAAAAAAAAGUAAUAUAUAUAUAUAUAUUGGAAUAGUUAUAUUAUUAUACAGAAAUAUGCUUAAUUAUAAUAUAAUAUCCA
RNAcentral lists this non-coding RNA (380 nucleotides) under Saccharomyces cerevisiae YJM1250. Lineage: Eukaryota; Fungi; Ascomycota; Saccharomycetes; Saccharomycetales; Saccharomycetaceae. The record is from RNAcentral.